Molecule: ribosomal RNA, 484 nt
Filed under: uncultured bacterium
Lineage: Bacteria
Description: partial 16S ribosomal RNA
Rfam family: Bacterial small subunit ribosomal RNA
Source: RNAcentral
AUUGAACGCUAGCGGGAUGCUUUACACAUGCAAGUCGAACGGCAGCGCGGACUUCGGUCUGGCGGCGAGUGGCGAACGGGUGAGUAAUGUAUCGGAACGUGCCCAGUAGCGGGGGAUAACUACGCGAAAGCGUAGCUAAUACCGCAUACGCCCUACGGGGGAAAGCAGGGGAUCGUAAGACCUUGCACUAUUGGAGCGGCCGAUAUCGGAUUAGCUAGUUGGUGAGGUAACGGCUCACCAAGGCGACGAUCCGUAGCUGGUUUUAGAGGACGACCAGCCACACUGGGACUGAGACACGGCCCAGACUCCUACGGGAGGCAGCAGUGGGGAAUUUUGGACAAUGGGGGCAACCCUGAUCCAGCCAUCCCGCGUGUGCGAUGAAGGCCUUCGGGUUGUAAAGCACUUUUGGCAGGAAAGAAACGUCGCGGGCUAAUACCCCGUGGAACUGACGGUACCUGCAGAAUAAGCACCGGCUAACUACGUG